UGGGGAAUCUUGCACAAUGGGGGAAACCCUGAUGCAGCGACGCCGCGUGAACGAUGAAGCCCUUCGGGGUGUAAAGUUCUUUCGACAGGAACGAUAAUGACGGUACCUGGAGAAGAAGCUGCGGCUAACUACGUGCCAGCAGCCGCGGUAAUACGUAGGCAGCGAGCGUUGUUCGGAGUUACUGGGAGUAAAGAGUGCGUAGGCGGCGAGCCAAGUUUGGUGUGAAAUCUCCCGGCUUAACCGGGAGGGUGCGCCGAAAACUGGUUGGCUGGAGUAUGGGAGAGGAAAGCGGAAUUCCUUGUGUAGCGGUGAAAUGCGUAGAUAUCAGGAGGAACACCUGCGGUGUAGACAGCUUUCUGGACCAAAACUGACGCUGAGGCACGAAAGCGUGGGUAGCAAACA
Molecule: ribosomal RNA, 402 nt
Filed under: uncultured bacterium
Lineage: Bacteria
Description: bacterial SSU rRNA
Rfam family: Bacterial small subunit ribosomal RNA
Source: RNAcentral